UCUUCGUCUUUCUUAGUUCCUUCAACGUAUCGCACUGGUCCGUGGUACAUUGGGAUUACUGCAAGCUGCCCGAGGCGUGACGCCGCUUUGUAAGCGAAGUUUUCGCUCGAGUUGUUGUGCAAGAUAAUCUUCAUCGUCCCAUAAUGUAAUAAUGAGCAACAAACCUGCUGUGGAUAUCAUUGUUGCUGCGGCCAAUCCUGACCUCCCCUUAAUCAAACCAAAGUGGUUGAGGGGCAGUAUAACUUGGAUCCCCGUCUCCACCACACCAACACCGCCACCACUGAUUUCGCCAUAGUUUUGAGAAAAUAGGUCAUAUUCUGCUGAUCCAGGCGUAGCCUUCCUCGGAAACAUUGCCCGUCUAUGACGACGAACAAAGAUAAGUCCGCCAACUGUGUGAGAAAUUAAUAGACAACAAUUUUAGUUAAUUAAUGAAGUAUUGGAAUUUAUUUAUUUUCAGAAUUGAUCCGGUGCUAAUUUGAAGUGAGCUUAACAUCAAAUAAAGCUCUAAGCGUCCGGUUUUGCCGGGAGCAUGCUACCAACGUCGUUGCGCAUUUCUUCUAACGCUUUUACUAAUGACCAAU
Long non-coding RNA from Folsomia candida, 581 nucleotides. RefSeq lists it as uncharacterized. The transcript is spliced from 3 exons. Lineage: Eukaryota; Metazoa; Arthropoda; Collembola; Entomobryomorpha; Isotomidae. The record is from RefSeq and is a predicted model, not a curated record.